This 442-nucleotide ribosomal RNA is filed under the name uncultured bacterium. RNAcentral describes it as "partial 16S ribosomal RNA". It matches the Rfam family "Bacterial small subunit ribosomal RNA", at positions 338 to 795 of the family's 1533-position model. The record is from RNAcentral.
CCUACGGGUGGCAGCAGUGGGGAAUAUUGGGCAAUGGGCGCAAGCCUGACCCAGCAACGCCGCGUGAAGGAAGAAUGCUCUCGGGUUGUAAACUUCUUUUAAUAGGGAAGUGCAGCAGACGGUACCUCUUGUAUAACCCACGGCUAACUACGUGCCAGCAGCUGCGUCAAUACGUAGGUGGCAAGCGAUGUCCGGAUUUACUGGGUGUAAAGGGCGUGCAGAGGGGAAGACAAGUCAGAUGUGAAAUCCCGCGGCUCAACCGCGGAACUGCAUUUGAAACUGUUUUUCUUGAGUACCGGAGAGGUCAUCGGAAUUCGUGGUGUAGCGGUGAAAUGCGUAGAUAUAAGGAAGAACACCAGUGGCGAAGGCAGAUGACUAAACGGCGACUGACAGUGAGGCGCGAAAGCGUGGGGAGCAAACAGGAUUAGAUACCCCAGUAGUC